UACGUAGGUGACCAGCGUUGUCCGGAUUUACUGGGCGUAAAGAGCGCGCAGGCGGUCGUUCAAGUCGAGUGUGAAAGCCCCCGGCUCAACUGGGGAGGGUCAUUCGAUACUGAUCGACUCGAAGGCAGGAGAGGGAAGCGGAAUUCCCGGUGUAGUGGUGAAAUGCGUAGAUAUCGAGAGGAACACCUGCGGCGAAGGCGGGUUGCUGGGCUGACACUGACGCUGAAGCGCGAAAGCCAGGGGAGCGAACGGG
RNAcentral lists this ribosomal RNA (253 nucleotides) under uncultured bacterium. RNAcentral's name for it is "partial 16S ribosomal RNA". It matches the Rfam family "Bacterial small subunit ribosomal RNA", at positions 524 to 776 of the family's 1533-position model. The record is from RNAcentral.